UUCGCAAUGCCCGAAAGGGUGACGAAGCGACGCCGCGUGGGUGAGGAAGGCCUUCGGGUUGUAAAGCCCUGUCAGGAGUUAAGAAAUAUAAGUGCGCUAAUAUCGCAUUUAUUUGACGAAGGCUCCAAAGGAAGCCACGGCUAACUCUGUGCCAGCAGCCGCGGUAAUACAGAGGUGGCAAGCGUUGUUCGGAAUUAUUGGGCGUAAAGAGCACGUAGGUGGGUUUGUAAGUCAGAUGUGAAAGCCUUCUGUUCAACGGAAGAAUUGCAUCUGAAACUACAAGCCUUGAGUGUAGGAGGGGAGAAUGGAACUUCUGGUGGAGCGGUGAAAUGCGUAGAUAUCAGAAGGAACGCCGGCGGCGAAAGCGAUUCUCUGGCCUAUUACUGACACUCAGUGUGCGAAAGCUAGGGGAGCAAACGGGAUUAGAUACCCCGGUAGUUCUAGCUGUAAACGAUGGGCACUAAGUAGAGGGGUUUU
This 477-nucleotide ribosomal RNA is filed under the name uncultured Candidatus Scalindua sp. RNAcentral describes it as "bacterial SSU rRNA". It matches the Rfam family "Bacterial small subunit ribosomal RNA", at positions 365 to 832 of the family's 1533-position model. The record is from RNAcentral. Lineage: Bacteria; Pseudomonadati; Planctomycetota; Candidatus Brocadiia; Candidatus Brocadiales; Candidatus Scalinduaceae.